GCUUUUCUAGUGUAGUGGUCAGCACGCUCGACGCGUAUUCGAGAGGUCCGUGGUUCGAGUCCCGGCAAGGGCA
Molecule: transfer RNA, 73 nt
Filed under: Stegodyphus mimosarum
Lineage: Eukaryota; Metazoa; Arthropoda; Arachnida; Araneae; Eresidae
Rfam family: tRNA
About the family: Transfer RNA (tRNA) molecules are approximately 80 nucleotides in length.
Source: Rfam by way of RNAcentral